AGCAGCCGCGGUAAUUCCAGCUCCAAUAGCGUAUAUUAAAGUUGUUGCAGUUAAAAAGCUCGUAGUUGAAUUUCGGGGUUAGUAAGUUGGUCGUGCCUAUGGUAUGCACUGGCUUUACUGAUUCCUCCUUCCUGAAGAACCGUAAUGCCAUUAAUUUGGUGUUGCGGGGAAACAGGACUGUUACUUUGAAAAAUUAGAGUGUUUAAAGCAGGCUAACGCUUGAAUACAUUAGCAUGGAAUAAUGAAAUAGGACGAUCGAUCCUAUUUUGUUGGUUUCUAGGAUUGACGUAAUGAUUAAUAGGGAUAGUUGGGGGCAUUAGUAUUCAAUUGUCAGAGGUGAAAUUCUUGGAUUUAUUGAAGACUAACUACUGCGAAAGCAUUUGCCAAGGAUGUUUUCAUUAAUCAAGAACGAAAGUUAGGGGAUUCGAAGACGAUCAGAUAUCGUCGUAGUCUUAACCAUAAACUAUGCCGACUAGGGAUCGGAUGAUGUUAAUUUUAUAAUGA
Molecule: ribosomal RNA, 504 nt
Filed under: uncultured Glomus
Lineage: Eukaryota; Fungi; Glomeromycota; Glomeromycetes; Glomerales; Glomeraceae
Description: SSU rRNA
Rfam family: Eukaryotic small subunit ribosomal RNA
Source: RNAcentral